UUACUAUUUGAUCUUAUUAAAAUUAUAUUUUCCACAUCUUUGAUGAAGAACUACGCGCUCAAAUCGCUGACAAGAUUUGAAUUCAUUUUCAAUUUUGUUACAGUCUGAAAUUCGAAGGUAUUGACCGAAAUCUAUAUAUUUUUAUAGUUUCAGCAAAAGAAAACUUAGUUAUCUAAAAUUUUAAAUUUUUUGAUUUUUAUGCCACAUCGUUUGAUUGGCGUUUUUGGUGAAUUGAAACAUCUUAGUAACCUUUUUUUAAUCAAAUGUGAUAGCGAUAGUAAUGGUGAGUGAACUCGCUUUUUAAGUUUUUACUCGUUCUUUUUGCGAUUGACUGAUUGCAAUUAAUUACAAAUGAGCUAUCAUUUGAUCGAUAAUUUUUGGGCGUUGGAUAGUGAACUAGUACUGUGAAGGAUAGUUUGAAAUCUUUGAUGUUUUUUUAAUUGUUUUUUUUUUAAACAGUUUGCUUUUUGCAUUACGAACCAACGAGUUUCAAAUAUUAGCAAGCUUAAAACUAAAAGCGUAAUACAUUUUUUAAGUUAUUAUUUGAAAACACGAACUCGAGUGAGCUAUUUAUGAUCAGGUUGAAAUUUAAUUAGAGUAUUUUAUAAGAAGACCGAACCAGUGUUUGUUGCAAAAAACUUGGAUGAAUUGUAAAUUGGAAUGAAAGGUUAAUCAAACUCGACCAUUGCUUGUUUUUCACGAAAGCACUUUUAGGUGGCAGCUGAUAUAAAAAAAGGUAAAUCACUUGUUAAAUUCGGGUUGCUCAAAAGCAUUACUAACUUUUACAAAAAUAAGAAGUUUUAUUCAGCUUUUAAACUUAGAAUGACAAAAUUCUAUGUUGAGAGAGAAACAACUCUGAACGAUUAUUAAAGUUUUAAAAUACGUUUUAAAUGGAAAGAUCGUUUUCCAAGUUUGGUAAUUUGUUAGUUGGCUUAGAAUCAGCCAUCUUUUUCGAAAAACGUAACAGUUUACUUACUGAUUUAUUGGAUUGCGUCAAAAAUUUUUAGAAUCUAAAAACUUAACUGAAAUAUCGUAAAUUGGUUUUUUAAACCGGUUUAGUAGUGAAACGGGUUGUAUAUUUUUGUGGUUUACACUACUAAAAUAGAUUUUUUGAAAUAAUUAUUAGUUUUUAACUAAUCAUCAAUCUUGCAAAUGUUGGUAUGAGUAGUUCAAGCUUUCUAAAAAGCUUUAUUAGUUAUUCACGAUUUUCUUUCGUGCUUUUGCCGAAUUUUACAAUCGAUUUCUGAAUUAAACACGAAAGUGUUUUUUGAUGAGAUUGCACUGUUCAAACUAAAAAAAGUUAACAACUAUGCUGUUUGAGUUUUUAUUAGUUGUGAUCUUUUUUUUUGAAAAAAAAGUGUCAAAAUCGUAUCAAAUCCAAAUCAGGUGAAUAAGUUUAAUAUAACUUCAAUAAUUGAAAUAAUAAAAAAGAUGGAACUCGGCAAAAUUUUACAUUAACUUUGGAAUAUUGUAAUUUGUUUUUUCAAAUAAAAAACAAACAAUGCUAAUUGGAAUGAGCGACUGUUUAUUAAAAACUCACAAGAUUAAGCAAAUUUUUUAAAAAGCAUUUGAUCUGAUUGGUGCUAAAUGCUAAAACUUAAACUCAAGUUUUUUUUUCAAAAUUUGAAUAAAUGUUUAGCUAAUAGCUGCAUUAUCUUGAGUGUAGUAAUGUAGCGAAAUUCCUUGUCAACUAAUUAUUGACCCGCAUGAAUCCAACAACGACUCGUUUACUGUCAUCUUUUUUAAUUUUGCGAAAUUAAAACUUUGGUGCAGAUUCCAAAAAUAAUUUUGAAGACGAAAAGACCCUUUGCAUCUUCACUUGAUUUACUAAUUGUUGAAAAUAAAAAUCGUAGUCAGUCAAUAUAUGAAUCUUUGAUGUUUUUCAAGUUUUUGAAAAAUUGAGAUCAAACUGAGAUUUUAUAUGCGUUUUUGUUUUUAACUAACCUUUUGGAACAGUUAGUGAUUUUUAGUUUGACUGGGAUGGUUACCUUUCAAAUAGUAGCAAAGGUGUGCAUUUGGUAAACUUUUUUGAAACAUUUCAAUUUUUAUCACAAAAGAUAAUACGUUUGCUAUUUUACAAAAACUGAUAAGUUACGUAAUGAAGAAAUUCAGCUUUAGUGAACCAAGUAUUUUGAAUGGUAAAAUACUUGAUUAUCAAAUAAAAGAUACGCAAGGGAUAACAGUAUUAUAAAAAUUUAGAGCUCAUAUCUAUGUUUUUGUUUGUCACCUCGAUGUCGAUUCGUUUUUACCUUCAGCUGAAGCUGGUUGAAGGGGUUUGGUUGUUCGCCAAUUAAAAAAGCACGCGAAUUGGGUUUAGAACGAUGUAAAUCAGUUUGGUUUCUAUCUCAAAAUUUCAGUAAGUCAACAUGUUUUUUUUUAGUAUGAAAAGACUGAAAAAAUAAAGCCAAUAGUUUACUUUUGUAGUUUCAACUGCAUUGUUGUUAAGCCACGCUUUUUUUAGUUAAAGUUGAAUGCAUUUAAAUUUGAAAUAAAAUGUUAAACUUACAUUCAAACGAAGUUAAUCUUUGUUAGCUGCUUGUUUUUUUAUCAAAACGUUGUUCGCUAGUUAUUUGUACCUCGUUAGAGUGAGAUAAACUAUUCGAAACUUAGCAUUUUUUUUAGUUUAUUUUUUU
This 2633-nucleotide ribosomal RNA is filed under the name Chrysochromulina sp. NIES-1333. RNAcentral describes it as "large subunit ribosomal RNA". It matches the Rfam family "Bacterial large subunit ribosomal RNA". The record is from RNAcentral. Lineage: Eukaryota; Haptophyta; Prymnesiales; Chrysochromulinaceae.